This 253-nucleotide ribosomal RNA is filed under the name uncultured bacterium. RNAcentral's name for it is "partial 16S ribosomal RNA". It matches the Rfam family "Bacterial small subunit ribosomal RNA", at positions 524 to 776 of the family's 1533-position model. The record is from RNAcentral.
UACGGGGGGGGCAAGCGUUAUCCGGAAUGAUUGGGCGUAAAGCGUCCGCAGGUGGCUAUGUAAGUCUGCUGUUAAAGAGUGAGGCUCAACCUCAUAAGAGCAGUGGAAACUACAUGGCUAGAGUGCGUUCGGGGCAGAGGGAAUUCCUGGUGUAGCGGUGAAAUGCGUAGAGAUCAGGAAGAACACCGGUGGCGAAAGCGCUCUGCUAGGCCGCAACUGACACUCAUGGACGAAAGCCAGGGGAGCAAACGGG